RNAcentral lists this ribosomal RNA (777 nucleotides) under uncultured Neocallimastigales. RNAcentral's name for it is "partial large subunit ribosomal RNA". It matches the Rfam family "Eukaryotic large subunit ribosomal RNA", at positions 23 to 647 of the family's 3401-position model. Lineage: Eukaryota; Fungi; Neocallimastigomycota; Neocallimastigomycetes; Neocallimastigales. The record is from RNAcentral.
AGAGAGAGACAUGCGCGCAUAUCAAUAAGCGGAGGAAAAGAAACUAACAAGGAUUCCCCUAGUAACGGCGAGUGAAGCGGGAAGAGCUCAAAUUUGAAAUCUUAAAGGGUUUCCCUUUACGAAUUGUAGUUUAAAGAAGUGUUUUCUGUUGAGGUUUUGGUAAAAGUUCUUUGGAAUAGGACAUCAUAGAGGGUGAGAAUCCCGUAUUUGACCUUUACUUUCAACUUUGUGAUACACUUUCAAAGAGUCGGAUUGUUUGGGAAUGCAGUCCAAAAUGGGUGGUAAAUUUCAUCUAAAGCUAAAUAUUGGCGAGAGACCGAUAGCGAACAAGUACCGUGAGGGAAAGAUGAAAAGAACUUUGAAAAGAGAGUUAAACAGUACGUGAAAUUGUCAAAAGGGAAGCGUUUGACACCAGUGUUGUUUUUCUGAAAAUCAAUUAAAGAACUGUUUAUGCUAAGCUUGUUUAGACUUUAUCAGCUAUCUGUUUAGUUUUGAGCUUUUCUUUAAUGCACUUUUCAGUUAACAAGUCAACAUCAAUUUCUUUUGCUGUAAAAAAGCUUGAGGAAGGUGGCUUGAGAUUCGUCUUAAGUGUUUAUAGCCUCUUGCCUAUGCAGUCGGAGAGAUUGAGGUCUGCAGCGUAGAUCCUUCGGGGCUAAAUGCAUUUGUGCUAAGUUAUAACAUUUUAUAGACAACUUGUUGACUAUGAUUUGUCUUGUAGCUUACUCGCUUAUGUUAAUUAUUACCUACGCUUAGGAUGUUGACGCAUGAGAUAUACGC